RNAcentral lists this ribosomal RNA (467 nucleotides) under uncultured bacterium. RNAcentral's name for it is "bacterial SSU rRNA". It matches the Rfam family "Bacterial small subunit ribosomal RNA", at positions 28 to 507 of the family's 1533-position model. The record is from RNAcentral.
GAUUAACGCUGGCGGCGUGCAUAACACAUUCAAGUCGAACGGAGAGAGGCAGCUUCGGCUGCGUCAAUCAGUGGCGGACGGGUGAGUAACGCGUGAGUAACCUGCCUGUAAGAGGGGGAUAACACCUGGAAACGGGUGCUAAUACCGCAUAAAUCAUAGUUGUCGCAUGGCAGCGAUGUAAAAGAGGAAUUGCUUACAGAUGGACUCGCGUCUGAUUAGAUAGUUGGUAAGGUAACGGCCUACCAAGUCUGCGAUCAGUAGCCGGACUGAGAGGUUGAACGGCCACAUUGGAACUGAGAAACGGUCCAGACUCCUACGGGAGGCAGCAGUGGGGAAUAUUGGGCAAUGGACGAAAGUCUGACCCAGCGACGCCGCGUGAGGGAAGAAGGUCUUCGGAUUGUAAACCUUAGUAAGCAGGGAAGAAGGAAGUGACGGUACCUGCAGAGUAAGCCACGGCUAACUACGUG